GGAAUAUUCGGCAAUGGAGGCAACUCUGACCGAGCAACACCGCGUGAAUGAUGAAGGUCUUCGGAUUGUAAAGUUCUGUGAUGGGGGACGAAGAAAGUGACGGUACCCCAAGAGCAAGCCACGGCUAACUACGUGCCAGCAGCCGCGGUAAUACGUAGGUGGCAAGCGUUGUCCGGAAUGACUGGGCGUAAAGGGUACGUAGGUGGCUAUUCAAGUUAGUAGUGAAAUCCCGGGGCUUAACUCCGGUGCUACUGCUAAGACUGUUUAGCUUGAGUGCAGGAGGGGUAAGUGGAAUUCCUAGUGUAGCGGUGGAAUGCGUAGAUAUUAGGAGGAACACCAGUGGCGAAGGCGACUUACUGGACUGUAACUGACACUGAAGUACGAAAGCGUGGGGAGCAAACA
RNAcentral lists this ribosomal RNA (402 nucleotides) under uncultured bacterium. Its description in RNAcentral is "bacterial SSU rRNA". It matches the Rfam family "Bacterial small subunit ribosomal RNA", at positions 358 to 774 of the family's 1533-position model. The record is from RNAcentral.